GACGAACGCUGGCGGCGUGCUUAACACAUGCAAGUCGAACGGAAAGGCCCUGCUUUUGUGGGGUGCUCGAGUGGCGAACGGGUGAGUAACACGUGAGUAACCUGCCCUUGACUUUGGGAUAACUUCAGGAAACUGGGGCUAAUACCGGAUAGGAGAUCCUGCUGCAUGGUGGGGGUUGGAACGUUUCGGCGGUUGGGGAUGGACUCGCGGCUUAUCAGCUUGUUGGUGGGGUAGUGGCUUACCAAGGCGUUGACGGGUCGCCGGCCUGGGAGGGUGACCGGCCACAUUGGGACUGAGGUAGGGCCCAGUCUCCUACGGGAGGCAGCAGUGGGGAAUAUUGCACAGUGAGCGGAAGCCUGAGGCGGCAACGCCGCGUGCGGGAUGACGGCCUUCUGGGUAUAAACCGCUUUCGCCUGUGACGAAGCGUGAGUGACGGUAAUGGGUAAAGAAGCACCGGCUAACUACGUG
Molecule: ribosomal RNA, 468 nt
Filed under: uncultured bacterium
Lineage: Bacteria
Description: partial 16S ribosomal RNA
Rfam family: Bacterial small subunit ribosomal RNA
Source: RNAcentral